ACAUCCGAAAGGACCGAGUGUGGAGAGUUUCCAGUUUGGUGAACUGGGGAGAGAGCCGUGCCUGGAGAGGACACAGACGCUCCUGCAGUCUCUCCCCGUAACCUCACCCCGUGCAUUUCUCCCGUCUGGCUGUUUCUGAAUUCUCUCCUUCUAUAAAAACAAAAACAGUAAUCUGGAGAUAGGUGCUGAAGAAUUCCCAAAGGAUCUCUGCGGCUCAGAACUCGCAGCGGCUCAGACAAGAUCUGCGCAUGCACACAGCCCUCUUGCUGAGACUUAUUUCGCGCGGCUGGAGAGUCAGAUUGGGCUCCAAGGGGCGGAAUACGUAAGGGCGGCUUCCGGUGACCCGCGCAGACGUCGAAGACAGCCGGAAUGGAGGAGGUGCCUCAGGGCUGUCCCGGGACCGGCAGCGCCCAGGCGGGCCGAGGGGCCUCAUGUCAGGGGUGCCCCAACCAGCGGCUCUGCGCCUCCGGAGCCGGCGCCGCUCCGGACCCAGCCAUAGAAGAAAUCAAAGAAAAAUUGAAGACCGUGAAACACAAAAUCUUGGUGUUAUCCGGGAAAGGUGGUGUUGGAAAAAGCACAUUCAGUGCCCACCUUGCCCACGGCCUAGCAGAGGAUGAAAACACACAGGUCGCCCUUCUGGACAUUGAUAUAUGUGGGCCAUCGAUUCCCAAGAUGAUGGGAUUGGAAGGAGAACAGGUUCACCAGAGUGGCUCGGGCUGGUCUCCAGUGUUCUUGGAAGACAACCUGGGGGUGAUGUCCGUGGGUUUCUUGCUCAGCAGUCCUGACGAUGCCGUUAUCUGGAGGGGACCAAAGAAGAAUGGCAUGAUCAAGCAGUUCCUUCGGGACGUGGACUGGGGAGAGGUCGACUACCUCAUCGUGGACACCCCGCCAGGCACGUCGGACGAACACCUCUCGGCCGUCCAGUACCUGUCCGCGGCACACGUCGAUGGGGCGGUGAUCAUCACUACUCCUCAGGAGGUGUCCCUCCAGGACGUCCGCAAAGAAAUCAGCUUCUGCCACAAGGUGAAGCUGCCCAUCGUCGGAGUGGUGGAGAACAUGAGUGUUUUCGUCUGCCCCAAGUGCAAGAAAGAGUCUCAGAUAUUCCCACCAACGACGGGGGGUGCGGAGGUCUUGUGCCAGGACCUGAAGAUCCCUCUCCUCGGAAAAGUGCCUCUGGACCCACACAUAGCGGGAGCCAAGGUGGAUGCCCGGACACAGACAGGAAGGGAUGAAGCUUGCGCUCCAGCCUGGGUGGGAGCCCUGGGGCAGGAGGUAAGAGUUGUGACAAAGGACAGUCUUUUUUGAUUGAUGCACCGGAUUCCCCAGCUGCUUUAGCCUACAGAGGUAUCAUUCAAAAAAUCCAGGAGUUCUGUGGUCUCCAUCAGCCAAAAGAAGAGCACCUCAUCAGCUCCUGAAACACAAGAGAACAUUCAAGACGCAAGCCGCACUUGCACUCCAGCCUGAGUAGCAUGGGGACAAAGUUGGGUCACAGGCAGAAAGGGACCAGACUCUGGUAUGGCAUGAAGUCAUUUUUUUUAGAGAUGCUGGAGUCAUAGGAUUUGUAUACUUUUCAACACACAUAAAGGCAUACUUUACAAACACGCCUCUUAAAAAUAAGAACCUCAAACCCCUCCCCCAAGGCCUGCUUCCAGGAAAGAGCCAACGGCUUAUUGGUCGGGGAAUUCUCUGCUGGAAGCUUGUGCAGUUACAGAACUUCUCCCUCAAGCCACUGCUGCCUCAGAAGAUAAGCCUAAAAAAGAACCCCGGUGAUGGAUGUGUGGCUUCACUGUAAAACCCAGUCAUGGCUUCAAGUAGCACAGUCCAAAUGCUGCUUCACAAUGAGGGAAGAAUUAGUCCCCAGAAGCCCUUGAAAAGCUCUUAAAUCACCCAUGGAAACAGAAGAGGUCAUCUGUGUCUGUACCUAGUGCACACUAUAGCCGGUAAUUUCCAGCAUCCUAUAAGACAGCUUAUAGGGUUUUUGUUUUUUUUUAAUUACAUAAAAGGAGACACCCAUGUAAA
Neofelis nebulosa (Clouded leopard) is the source of this 2019-nucleotide RNA transcript. It is a transcript of the gene named NUBP iron-sulfur cluster assembly factor 1, cytosolic, with no coding region annotated. The transcript is spliced from 13 exons. The record is from RefSeq and is a predicted model, not a curated record. Lineage: Eukaryota; Metazoa; Chordata; Mammalia; Carnivora; Felidae.